RNAcentral lists this transfer RNA (73 nucleotides) under Frigoribacterium sp. SL97. RNAcentral's name for it is "tRNA-Glu". It matches the Rfam family "tRNA". Rfam says of the family: Transfer RNA (tRNA) molecules are approximately 80 nucleotides in length. Their secondary structure includes four short double-helical elements and three loops (D, anti-codon, and T loops). Further hydrogen bonds mediate the characteristic L-shaped molecular structure. tRNAs have two regions of fundamental functional importance: the anti-codon, which is responsible for specific mRNA codon recognition, and the 3' end, to which the tRNAs corresponding amino acid is attached (by aminoacyl-tRNA synthetases). tRNAs cope with the degeneracy of the genetic code in two manners: having more than one tRNA (with a specific anti-codon) for a particular amino acid; and 'wobble' base-pairing, i.e. permitting non-standard base-pairing at the 3rd anti-codon position. Lineage: Bacteria; Bacillati; Actinomycetota; Actinomycetes; Micrococcales; Microbacteriaceae. The record is from RNAcentral.
GCCCCGGUCGUUUAGCGGCCCAGGACACCGCCCUUUCACGGCGGCAGCACCGGUUCGAAUCCGGUCCGGGGCA